RNAcentral lists this ribosomal RNA (345 nucleotides) under Triticum aestivum (bread wheat). Its description in RNAcentral is "partial small subunit ribosomal RNA". Lineage: Eukaryota; Viridiplantae; Streptophyta; Magnoliopsida; Poales; Poaceae. The record is from RNAcentral.
AUGUGGAUGAUAUCUGCUAAUAGGAAAUUUUCUGUGAAGUCUCUUUACCUCCACCUUAUCAAAAUAGAUGUGAGUUUCCCACAAAAAUUCUUGUGGAAAACAGAAGUGCCAGCGAAAAUUAAAUUUUUACUAUGGCUAUUAAAUAAAAAAAGUAUCCUAACCAGAGAUAAUCUGUUAAAGAGAGGAUGGAAAGGGGACAAGCAAUAUGUUCUAUGUGGAAAAGAGGAGAGCAUUGAUCACCUUUUCUUCUCCUGUUUGGUUGCUAUGCUCUUCUGGAGUCUGGUGGGGUGUGCUUUUGAUUUAAAACAGAUCCUGAGGGAUUUAAAUGAUUGCUUUGGGGACUAG